GAUGAACGCUGGCGGCGUGCCUAAUACAUGCAAGUCGAGCGACCAGACGAGGAGCUUGCUCCUCUGAUGUUAGCGGCGGACGGGUGAGUAACACGUGGAUAACCUACCUAUAAGACUGGGAUAACUUCGGGAAACCGGAGCUAAUACCGGAUAACAUGUUGAACCGCAUGGUUCAACAGUGAAAGACGGUCUUGCUGUCACUUAUAGAUGGAUCCGCGCCGCAUUAGCUAGUUGGUAAGGUAACGGCUUACCAAGGCAACGAUGCGUAGCCGACCUGAGAGGGUGAUCGGCCACACUGGAACUGAGACACGGUCCAGACUCCUACGGGAGGCAGCAGUAGGGAAUCUUCCGCAAUGGGCGAAAGCCUGACGGAGCAACGCCGCGUGAGUGAAGAAGGUCUUCGGAUCGUAAAACUCUGUUAUUAGGGAAGAACAAAUGUGUAAGUAACUAUGCACGUCUUGACGGUACCUAAUCAGAAAGCCACGGCUAACUACGUG
Molecule: ribosomal RNA, 497 nt
Filed under: uncultured bacterium
Lineage: Bacteria
Description: partial 16S ribosomal RNA
Rfam family: Bacterial small subunit ribosomal RNA
Source: RNAcentral